AUCACACUGCAGCUUCACCUGGAAAAGUACCCGGCCGAUAAAAAAGGCUGCUGACACGUGGAGAGAGACAGAGCCACUGCCUUUAUUGGAACAAAACCCUAAAACAGGUUGAAGCAAUAAAGAUAAAAAAGAGAUCAUGUAUGCCAGGGCUGUGUGGGUGGAGCAUGGCAAGGAAGUGGAGGGAACUGCCCCAGACAACUGGAUUGAUGUUGACAACAAAACCAUUAGAUGGCCAAAAAAAGGGGAAAAGGCAGCUUUCCUCAAUAAACACCCCCCUCAGGAUGACUGGAUGACAUUCACCUUGGUGAAACGUAAAAUGACUUCCGGUAAUUUUUUGUAAAUUAUCUAAUAAGGUUCAUUAGUCUUUUGACAAAAUAAAAAUUGUAAUUCAGCCAAAUUACAAAAACCAAGUCAAAAAAAGGUGCGCUCCAAUCAGGAUUUUUGGGGCCGAUUGAUGGAAG
Long non-coding RNA from Perca fluviatilis (European perch), 461 nucleotides. RefSeq lists it as uncharacterized. The record is from RefSeq and is a predicted model, not a curated record. NCBI's taxonomy places the organism in Eukaryota, Metazoa, Chordata, Actinopteri, Perciformes, Percidae. The transcript has 3 exons.